Molecule: non-coding RNA, 628 nt
Organism: Lonchura striata (white-rumped munia)
Lineage: Eukaryota; Metazoa; Chordata; Aves; Passeriformes; Estrildidae
Source: RefSeq, a predicted model, not a curated record
UUAAAUAACUCCAAAAAUCCAAAUUUCCGCUGUUAAUUUCGGCCGCGGGGAUGUGGGUGAGACGCGGGAUGGGGUGAGGAUGGAGCAGGGUCCGUGCUGCUCCUCCUCCCCUUAAAUAAGGAUGGGAUAAUUGAUGAAUUCUCCCGAUGCGCUGGGCAGCUCAUUAACUGACGGGCCUAAUGAGCUGCUGGGGCUGUCCAAGGAGCCAGGAGAGUUGGGAUGGGGGGAAAUGUUGGAUCCGGGCUCAGGAUUGCCGGAGCAAGAGAUCCAGGAGCAGGAUGGGGCUGGGCUGAAGUGCGAGAGCUGCUGGAAGAUCCCUGGAAUCCAGAGGAUCCCUGGAAUGCCAGGCCGGUGAGGACAUUUGGGUCCGAUGGAGCAGGAGACUCCUCAGGUUCCUGGAGGUGUGGAAGAAAUGGUUCCUUUGAAAUUCCUCGGGAUGUCACACUUCAUGCAUUCCAGCAGUUGGGAUUUUCCUCUUUUUUCCCCCAGCCUUGCGAUUCUGGAGGAUUCUCCGCCCUGACCUAAGAACACGUCAGCAUUUCCCACUGUCCUGUUUGCUGAGAAAAGCCUGAAAACACCAACCCUAAAGGGUAAAAGCUACGAGAGAAAUAAAAACCUGGUAAAAGGC